UGAGUGACCUGCCGAUUUGUGGGGGAUAGCCGGGCCAACGCCCGGGUAAUACCGCAUACGCUCUUCUUGGGGCAUCUCUAGAAGAGGAAACCUCCGGGGCAAAUCGAGGGACUCGCGGCCUAUCAGCUAGUUGGCGAGGUAACGGCUCACCAAGGCUACGACGGGUAGCUGGUCUGAGAGGAUGGCCAGCCACAUUGGGACUGAGAUACGGCCCAGACUCCGUACGGGAGCAGC
Molecule: ribosomal RNA, 234 nt
Filed under: uncultured bacterium
Lineage: Bacteria
Description: partial 16S ribosomal RNA
Rfam family: Bacterial small subunit ribosomal RNA
Source: RNAcentral